AUCCAGUCAGGGUUCUGGUUCUCUCUGCCCCUCCCCCAGUUUGUCCCCUGUGAGGAUAGGAAACGGGAGUGUGGUUCAUGUUUUCCCUCUCUAGUAGGAUGCAUGUUUUUGUUUAAUUUGUGUUGAGUCGCAUGAUAACGUACAGUAGGAAUGAAUAUUCGGGAUUCUGUUUCAACUUUGUGCGUCUGCAGCAGCGUCUGUUCAGAGCUCCAUGAGCUUCCUGUCUGUAGGACUGAACCUCCUGUUACCACGGCAGCCUCAUCGAUAUUCUGGCAGAGGAAACCAUCAGGGUGUUUAAAACAAUCGAUACCCCGGCGUCUGCGUGUGUCACAAGGCCCUGAAACCCAAUGUCUGUCUCGGUGUUGUCACAACACAGGUAUCGCUGGUAAAAUGAGGUCACUACACACACGGAAAGUCCCGAGGGCCAACAACAACAAACAAAAGCUGCAGCCUGUUUUUUCCACUGCUCGACCCCCACUGUGUCGCUCGCUCGCCACGUGGCUGCGACCGGCCCACUCCAAUCUCAUGUCGGCAGCUGUGCACAGAGAUGCUUUCAGCUAGAAGAGGUUGAAUACAAUCAAAAUAGUAAUACAUGGAUAGAGACAGACUAAAACACAUGCAUUCUCAUCUCUGGUCUUGUAAUACUCGCCCCUGCUCUUCCUCUGAGAGGAAUCACUGUUGUCCUCUCGAUACACCGGGCACAGGGACAUGACCAUGACCAAAUUUAUGUCACUCCCAAGCAGAUGUUUGCAUACCGAUAGGUGUGAAAACUGUAACACUCGUUUGUGUCUCCUAACUCGACACUCCGACAGGCUCGUAUUAGACAAAACCCGCCCACCCUGGGUUCAUCAGCAAGUUAAAAUUGAGCACAACUAACUUCCCUGCUGUGCAGAUGUAUAAUUUGGGCUUCUUAGGGUAUUUGCUUAAAGAGAAAACAUUUCCUUCAGAGGAUGGAGGAAUAUUAACCUUUUAGUUUGUUCAAGGAAAAGUUUAGGUAAAGCAUUUCAGAUCUUAUUUAGUCUUCUAUCCAUUUCCUGUCAGAGGUCAGGUUGUACUCUCGGUGCUUCAUGUCUGGAUCCAUGAAUGUAGGUUUGCCACAAAGUUUAGUUUUGCUAUCAAUGAAUCUAAAGCAUUUUAAGCCCGUGGGCAGCUCACAUCUGUUGGUGUCACUCACAUUUUUGCAGUCUGACUGUGGCGCUGGUAAAAGAAGUUUAAACGCGUGUUAAACAGAAAACGACUUUACCGCUGACGAGUCUGUUUCUGGGGCAAAGACAGGAAGUAAAUGGAGCUUUAAACGGCGUCCGGACCGUCUGCCUGUGUUUAAGACAAAUCUUAGCUCCUUUCUCAGAUUUUAUGAACAUAAACUUAAAUCAGCUGUCAGUGACAUCACGCAGCCAGGAGCGGAGAAGAUGUUUGAUCUUCAUCAUCAACAUCAUCGCUCUCUGCUCUGCUGUGUCUGAUUGACAGGCAUCAGUGUGGCGGCCACGCUGAGGUUUACGGGAGACUGAUGAUGUCACCAGUCAGCCCAUAGAGUUAAAUCCACUGUGUUCCCGCUGCCGCUUAGUACUUCCUGCUUGUCUGCAGAUUACUGUCUUAAAAGAAGGACUCAUCCUCCAAUCAGAAGCAGCGGUGCGUCUAAUCCCCUCUUAGUCUGACUAGCAGCCAUCAACCUAUCUCUGAACUAGGACACGUUAUUGAAGUAAUGUGCUACUACUGCCAUAUUUCCAACUUUUGUCAUGACUAGGUUCUUCCUCUUCUCCCACUGAUGAGCUUUUUCUAUGUAACUCAGAGCCAUAUUUUAUAGGUUGUCUGUAUUGAUUUUUUUUUUUUUUUUUUUUUUUUUUUUUUAAAUCUCAUUGUUAUCGAGGUUUGCUUUGGACUUUCUCACCCCUGACCCUUUCUAACCCCGUCCCAACACACACCCUCUCUCCACCCCUGGCCCUUUUACUUCAAACAUGACCAAAAAAGAAACAAAAGAAGAAAAAAAACAAGGAGAAAAAUCUUCAGUCGUCACUGCCGAACCAAGUUUAAAGGACCUCUACAAUGUUUACAUGAAAAGCGAGUCGGUGGCAGUUCGCCUGCGCUUCUCUCAUCCGACCACUUCCCUUUCACUCCCUUGCUUUCCUGAAUCUUAGAGUUACUAUUUAACUAAAUGGGGAAUCUUUCUUGCAUGGUUUUCAUAUAAAAUUCAAUGUUUUGCUCAUUUUUUACAAUUCUUCUGUAUUUUUAUAUUAAGUACUUUUUAAUAUUUUGGAGAUAUAUGAAUAUAUAUGUAUAGGCUGAAGAGUUUGGUGACAGUACCGUACAUGAAUGAGAUGAACCUACCGUGGACUCUGUCUUUUUACAGCUCUCUAAAUAUUUCUGCCACGUGUGUCGUCUUGGUCACCUGACGUUAGGGCUCAGAAACCUGCAGUGACUUGUUUACUUCCUGUCGCCCAAUCAAUUGGAAUCUGAACAGUCUAGUCCCAUCAGCCCCCUUUUACAUGAGUAUAAUCACUUUACCUAAGAUGUUGUGACACACUACACGUUAAGUGAUUUUUCGCAGUUAUCCAACUCCAUUAGAGUUCAGAAAAUGCAUCAGCUAACUGUAUCAAACAUUAAAUGGGAGUGUAUAAUUAUUUAAUAACCUC
Molecule: long non-coding RNA, 2630 nt
Organism: Oreochromis aureus
Lineage: Eukaryota; Metazoa; Chordata; Actinopteri; Cichliformes; Cichlidae
Source: Ensembl